Molecule: long non-coding RNA, 660 nt
Organism: Esox lucius (northern pike)
Lineage: Eukaryota; Metazoa; Chordata; Actinopteri; Esociformes; Esocidae
Source: Ensembl
GCACAAUGGGUCGGUGGCUUGCGUGGGAUGCCGCUAUUUUGUCCCAGCUUAGCGAGGCUCACCAAGCUAUGUUCCCUGCCAUCCUCACCAGCAAGCGUGGCGUGGAUAGGACUGUUGUGCGCCUUCUGAGGGACCGGACGGAAGGGAACACCAUGGUCAAGGUGUGGCGGCAGAUACAGGAGAACCACGUUGAAGAGUACCUUCAGCGUAAGGACCUGUACACCACACUCCUCAUGACUGUCGUGAAACCUGGAGGGAUCGUUUCUGCACUAAGGCACACUUUCCAGGCUCCACCUCCUCCAAGAGAGCUCCCCUCCGCGCGGCUCCUGCGCCACGCCUUCCUGCUGGCGGAGGCCAGCAACGUGCAGGAUUACCGGAGCCAGAUCCUCUCCACUUUUGGCACUGUGCUGAAAAUGGAUUCCACCAAGAAAGUGGUGAAGAAGCUGUCUGGGGAGGGUGGAGGCUCAGCUGAGUGGUUCACCAGCAUCGGAAACGAGCACUCCCAGAUAGUUUCAUUUGUGCUGACCUGUGAGGAGUCCACAGAGAAGCUGAAACCGAUGUGCCUUGGGGUCAUGGAGAGGUUCCGGCUGGCCAAUCAACCAGUCCCAAAAAUUAUAUACGUGGACCGUGGGUGUUGCCGUGCGCAGGGCCCAACAGCGC